This 871-nucleotide long non-coding RNA is filed under the name Scleropages formosus (Asian bonytongue). Its description in RNAcentral is "lncRNA (ENSSFOG00015024549.1)". Lineage: Eukaryota; Metazoa; Chordata; Actinopteri; Osteoglossiformes; Osteoglossidae. The record is from RNAcentral.
UAGCUGUACUUGUAAGAAUGGCCAUAAUGUAAAAUUCAUCCGUAUAAUUUUCAGGGACAGGUUACCCCAGUGUGCCCAUUCACCGUGGAGGAUGGGGGGCCAAGGCAGGCAAGGAAGCAGGGACGGGACCACCCAGUGUGUCAGCCAAUCUCGGACCGGGGGCCAGUGCAGAAAAGGGGGCAGGUGUUGCUGGAGGCCCUUAUGAUGGACAGAGUCCGAGCGCUGGACUACCUGCCGGAGACAAGUCCUCCAAAUAUGGUGAGCAGGAGCGAGCGUGUGAGACGUUCGCUGUGUUUCGAAAUGCUGACAGGAGUGAAAACCGCGAUCAAUGGUCACAAAUUUUACAGGGAAUGAAUUUGCUUCGUUACUCAUUGAGGCUUUUUCAGGCUUGGUAUUCACCACGAUUUCCGUUCUUUUUUUCUUUCUAAAAAGCUGCCGGUUACAGUUCAGUCGGCUCAGUGCUUCUAAAUGAAAUAUUUAAAAUGGGAGCGACGUCAAAUUAUUCCGUUUGCGAAUUGGCCUCGGUGUCAAGUGCAUCAUUUCUCCGUGAGUCUGUUUUUCGGCUGAUUUCACGCGUAUUUCUUAGCGACUAACCAGGUUAUCCAAGUGUAGAGAGUUUAACUAACAGGCCUUCCUGGGAUUUAAACCCCUUCAAGUUGCAAGGCUGGGUCCUUAACCGCUCUCCUACCUGAUGCGGAUCACCGCCGUGCCUGUCUCUGCAGCGGGGGCUGGAAACGGUGUGGCUCCGGGUUCGACUCCAGGUGCCACUCCUGCACAGCUGCCCUUUGGGGGCCGACCUGUGGUUCCUGCUGGGUUGGGACCUGAUGGCAAGGCGGGCACCUACAGCACGGGGCAGCUGCCCUACGGGGGA